Molecule: ribosomal RNA, 275 nt
Filed under: uncultured bacterium
Lineage: Bacteria
Description: partial 16S ribosomal RNA
Rfam family: Bacterial small subunit ribosomal RNA
Source: RNAcentral
CCUACGGGUGGCUGCAGUGGGGAAUUUUGGACAAUGGGCGAAAGCCUGAUCCAGCCAUGCCGCGUGCAGGAUGAAGGCCUUCGGGUUGUAAACUGCUUUUGUACGGAACGAAAAGGUCUUUUCUAAUAAAGAAGGCUGAUGACGGUACCGUAAGAAUAAGCACCGGCUAACUACGUGCCAGCAGCCGCGGUAAUACGUAGGGUGCGAGCGUUAAUCGGAAUUACUGGGCGUAAAGCGUGCGCAGGCGGUUAUGCAAGACAGAUGUGAAAUCCCCG